GCUCGCGUGGCCAAAUGGCACGGCGUACCUCUCCUAUUCAAGGUGCCUGACAGCAGGGAUCUUGGGUACAAGGUAAGAUUGUGGGUUCGAUCCCCACCGUGAGCU
This 105-nucleotide transfer RNA is filed under the name Pseudozyma flocculosa. It matches the Rfam family "tRNA". Rfam says of the family: Transfer RNA (tRNA) molecules are approximately 80 nucleotides in length. The record is from Rfam by way of RNAcentral. Lineage: Eukaryota; Fungi; Basidiomycota; Ustilaginomycetes; Ustilaginales; Ustilaginaceae. RNAcentral also lists the same sequence under 1 other name.